RNAcentral lists this ribosomal RNA (457 nucleotides) under Microcystis aeruginosa. Its description in RNAcentral is "bacterial SSU rRNA". It matches the Rfam family "Bacterial small subunit ribosomal RNA", at positions 129 to 619 of the family's 1533-position model. The record is from RNAcentral. Lineage: Bacteria; Bacillati; Cyanobacteriota; Cyanophyceae; Chroococcales; Microcystaceae.
ACUUCAGGACGGGGACAACAGUUGGAAACGACUGCUAAUACCCGAUGUGCCGCGAGGUGAAACCUAAUUGGCCUGAAGAAGAGCUUGCGUCUGAUUAGCUAGUUGGUGGGGUAAGAGCCUACCAAGGCGACGAUCAGUAGCUGGUCUGAGAGGAUGAGCAGCCACACUGGGACUGAGACACGGCCCAGACUCCUACGGGAGGCAGCAGUGGGGAAUUUUCCGCAAUGGGCGAAAGCCUGACGGAGCAACGCCGCGUGAGGGAGGAAGGUCUUUGGAUUGUAAACCUCUUUUCUCAAGGAAGAAGUUCUGACGGUACUUGAGGAAUCAGCCUCGGCUAACUCCGUGCCAGCAGCCGCGGUAAUACGGGGGAGGCAAGCGUUAUCCGGAAUUAUUGGGCGUAAAGCGUCCGCAGGUGGUCAGCCAAGUCUGCCGUCAAAUCAGGUUGCUUAACGACCUA